AACGCGGCGGGCGUGCCUAAUACAUGCAAGUCGAACGGAGAGCUAGCAAUAGUUCUUAGUGGCGAACGGGUGAGCAACGCGUUGGUGACCUGCCCCGAAACGGGGGAUAACAGUUCGAAAGGACUGCUAAUACCCCAUAAUAUCUUGGUAGUUAGAGAGCCGAGAUGAAAGGAGCAAUUCGUUUUGGGAGGGGCCUGCGUCCCAUCAGCUAGUUGGUAGGGUAAAAGCCUACCAAGGCGACGACGGGUAGGGGACCUGAGAGGGUGAUCCCCCACACUGGCACUGAAACACGGGCCAGACACCUACGGGUGGCAGCAGUAGGGAAUAUUGCACAAUGGGCGAAAGCCUGAUGCAGCAACGCCGCGUGCGCGAUGACGGCCUUCGGGUUGUAAAGCGCUUUUCGGGGAGAUGAGGAAGGACAGUAUCCCCGGAAUAAGGCUCGGCUAACUACGUGCCAGCAGCCGCGGUAACACGUAGGAGCCAAGCGUUAUCCGAAUUCACUGGGCGUAAAGCGCGUGCAGGCGGCUCGGUAAGUUGGAUGUGAAAGCUCCUGGCUCAACUGGGAGAGGACGUUCAAUACUGUCGAGCUAGAGGGCGACAGAGGGAGGUGGAAUUCCCGGUGUAGUGGUGAAAUGCGUAGAUAUCGGGAGGAACACCAGUGGCGAAAGCGGCCUCCUGGGUCGCACCUGACGCUCAGACGCGAAAGCUAGGGGAGCGAAUGGGAUUAGAAACCCCAGUAGUCCUAGCUGUAAACGAUGUAGACUUGGUGUUGGUGGGGUAAAAGCCAUCGGUGCCGAAGCAAACGCGAUAAGUCUACCGCCUGGGGAACUACGGCCGCAGGGUAAAACUC
This 850-nucleotide ribosomal RNA is filed under the name uncultured bacterium. RNAcentral describes it as "bacterial SSU rRNA". It matches the Rfam family "Bacterial small subunit ribosomal RNA", at positions 32 to 902 of the family's 1533-position model. The record is from RNAcentral.